GUGGGGAAUUUUGGACAAUGGGCGCAAGCCUGAUCCAGCAAUGCCGCGUGCAGGAAGAAGGCCUUCGGGUUGUAAACUGCUUUUGUACGGAACGAAACGGUCCGGGUUAAUACCCUGGGCUAAUGACGGUACCGUAAGAAUAAGCACCGGCUAACUACGUGCCAGCAGCCGCGGUAAUACGUAGGGUGCAAGCGUUAAUCGGAAUUACUGGGCGUAAAGCGUGCGCAGGCGGUUUUGUAAGACAGGCGUGAAAUCCCCGGGCUCAACCUGGGAAUUGCGCCUGUGACUGCAAGGCUGGAGUGCGGCAGAGGGGGAUGGAAUUCCGCGUGUAGCAGUGAAAUGCGUAGAUAUGCGGAGGAACACCGAUGGCGAAGGCAAUCCCCUGGGCCUGCACUGACGCUCAUGCACGAAAGCGUGGGGAGCAAACAGGAUUAGAUACCCCUGUAGUCC
Molecule: ribosomal RNA, 450 nt
Filed under: uncultured bacterium
Lineage: Bacteria
Description: partial 16S ribosomal RNA
Rfam family: Bacterial small subunit ribosomal RNA
Source: RNAcentral